Molecule: long non-coding RNA, 931 nt
Organism: Vigna radiata var. radiata (mung bean)
Lineage: Eukaryota; Viridiplantae; Streptophyta; Magnoliopsida; Fabales; Fabaceae
Exons: 3
Source: RefSeq, a predicted model, not a curated record
GUUUAACCCGCCCCUAAGUAUUUUAAUGUUAUUGCCAAAAUAUUUAUCUGCCCCCCGCACCUCAUUUCUUCUGCCAUAAUCAUUUCCUAAAUAUCAUAAGCUUAUUUUCUCUACCUUCACCCUCAAACCUUCUCUCUCUGCCUUCGUCCUCAAACCCUAUUUUCUCGCUCAUUGCCUUCGUUUCCUCGCUCCCCUAAAACUUCACGAGAAUCAUUUUCCCCCAAAUUUCCUGCACCAUCUUCGUGUUGUUCUUCCUUGUUUGGGCUGAGAAUUUUGUUCGUCGUCGAGGCUUCGAGGCAUCGUGGUGCUUUCUUAGCAUUUGUGCAUCAAUUGUUUCAGUGCUAUUAGAUCCCUUUCUCACAGCUUCCAUUUGCAAUUCAGGUUCUCUUUGAUCGGGCUUUUCUUGCUCCUUAGAUUCCCAAUUCUAGUCACGUCUUGCUAGAUCAGAGGGGAAUUUCGGAAAAUAUUCCAAUUUCGCGUUUGGUUUCGGCUUUCUCAACUCAGAUGCGGGGUUCGGUGAGUCUUAGGGAUGAAUUAACUGAAUCACCUCGUUUCUAGCUAGGCGAGGAUUUGGACUUAGAAAAUUUGUCAGCGAAAUCUGGUGCAAUAGGGGCUAAGGUUUGUUGUCCUUUGUUGGUCAUCAUGGUGCAUGCACCCUCCACAGAGGGCAAAGCAGUGGCACCUCCUUAUAGCUGUUGAUUAGCCUGUCUGCUUUCUGGUAAAUGGAUAGGAUUAUCUUGUUAUUUUAUCAUUUUUUCCCUCAAUAAUAUGUCCUUUCCAAUACUUUCAUCAUUCAAUCAUUGUUUAGAGAAUUUCCGUAUUCAUUUUGCUCUCUAUGUGCUGACCAAGGUAACUUGUUUUGCUAACAAUACAUCGAUGCUUUGUUCGGUGCCAAGUUUUAUUGUCUGAACUGUUUUUUUUUUUUUGUCUA